UUACAAGCGUGCAGAGCCCUGUUCAACAGCAGUCUGAGACUACACCCAUUUUGAUUUAGUCUGGAUUAUCCUGGCAGCUUAACUGUAUGUCUUGGCUGAUAUUGCACUCUUUCAGAAGUUGGUGUAUAUGUGACAUAGCUAUCUCCCACUGCUUUUUUAUAAACCAGACCCGAAAGAAUCUUGCCAAGGGGGCUUGCACAGAUAGACGGCAGCAGAAGCAGGGCUUGUGGGGCCCAGUGGAGGACCAGGCAGAGGUCAGAGUGAGGGGUCAGACGAUCUAAGCCUAUGCUGUGUUGGAGAUGCCCUUGGGGGGGAUAUGAUUACAACAUUGUUUGGCUAUGAAGAGCCAUGAGCGUCAGCCAUAAUUACAUGUUUUUCCUCUGCAGCCAGAAGGACACGGUGUUCCUUUGGCACAAAAGUCAGAGCAAAGGAAAACACACUGAUGCCACUGAUGUCUCAAACUGAAACAAAAAAACCUCUCAAAAUAAAAGGAUGUAUGGAAAAGACAAAUGAACAUCGUGAACACAUAAUAAACACAAUAAAAGUAACAUAUGUAGAUACAUCAUCA
Long non-coding RNA from Micropterus salmoides (largemouth bass), 568 nucleotides. RefSeq lists it as uncharacterized. The record is from RefSeq and is a predicted model, not a curated record. NCBI's taxonomy places the organism in Eukaryota, Metazoa, Chordata, Actinopteri, Centrarchiformes, Centrarchidae. The transcript is spliced from 2 exons.